RNAcentral lists this ribosomal RNA (550 nucleotides) under uncultured bacterium. RNAcentral describes it as "partial 16S ribosomal RNA". It matches the Rfam family "Bacterial small subunit ribosomal RNA", at positions 355 to 895 of the family's 1533-position model. The record is from RNAcentral.
UGGGGAAUAUUGGACAAUGGGCGCAAGCCUGAUCCAGCAAUGCCGCGUGUGUGAAGAAGGCCUUCGGGUUGUAAAGCACUUUUAUCAGGAGCGAAACGCUGUCGGCUAAUACCCGGCGGAACUGACGGUACCUGAGGAAUAAGCACCGGCUAACUUCGUGCCAGCAGCCGCGGUAAUACGAAGGGUGCAAGCGUUAAUCGGAAUUACUGGCCGUAAAGCGUGCGUAGGCGGUUUCUUAAGUCUGCUGUGAAAUCCCCGGGCUCAACCUGGGAAUGGCAGUGGAUACUGGGAGGCUAGAGUGUGUCAGAGGGUGGUGGAAUUCCCGGUGUAGCGGUGAAAUGCGUAGAGAUCGGGAGGAACAUCAGUGGCGAAGGCGGCCACCUGGGACAACACUGACGCUGAGGCACGAAAGCGUGGGGAGCAAACAGGAUUAGAUACCCUGGUAGUCCACGCCCUAAAGCGAUGCGAACUGGAUGUUGGUCUCAACUCGGAGAUCAGUGUCGAAGCUAACGCGUUAAGUUCGCCGCCUGGGGAGUACGGUCGCAAGACU